Molecule: long non-coding RNA, 1094 nt
Organism: Anneissia japonica
Lineage: Eukaryota; Metazoa; Echinodermata; Crinoidea; Comatulida; Comatulidae
Exons: 2
Source: RefSeq, a predicted model, not a curated record
UGCUGCAGCUGGUAUAAAUGAUAAAAGACCUGCUCCAGAACCCAACUCUGCUGCUUGCAUUGCAGUGUAUUUGGUUGCCAAUGGAGCAAGCCUUGAGGUGAAGAAUAAAAAAGGGAAAACUCCGGCAGAUCUCAAUAAGAAUCCUCGUGUUGCAGAAAUAUUGAAUAUAUCGUCACAGCAAUGGAAACAAUCACAUGAGUAGUGGUCAUUUUAAAGGCACUGUAACAGAUAUUACCAUUGGUCGAAAUUAGUCACCUGAUUAUCAACCAUUAAAGAAGCAGUCAAUGGCUGAAGAAGUAUGCCACGACAACUUUGAAAAAAAAGGUGGGGACAUUACUGAGGAGAAGUGUCUGGGCCACCGCCGGAUAGCAAGGGGUGGGUAAAUCACUGAGAAACAAUGGGCUGGAAUAAUUUUUAUUAUUGUUAUCCUUAUAAUUAUUAUAAUAAUAUUGUUUAAUGAUGAUUUAAAUAAUUGUGUAGAGUGUUUACUGUGAUUAUAUUGAAUUGAAUUGGUAGGCAGCAGCAACUUGCUUAUGGGAGGUCUUUGAAGCUCUAUCCAGACUAUCAAAUUUUAUUUGACAAAAAAUGGUUGGUUAUUCACCCAUGUAGUAACAAUGUGCCUAUAUAUGGUCAUGAUGUGAUGUCAUCAUGACCAUAUUUAGGCAUGUCACAUGUUUUUGUCAAAUGAAAUAUGAUAGUCUAAAGGGCUUGAGCUCAAAAUAGGGAAGAGCAGAUGAGUUUCUAAAAUACUAAAUUUUAAGUUUUAAACACUAAUGCUCGAAAUUAUUUAUUUUUGAAGUUAUUGUAAUUAAAGUAUUCUUUUUUACAACCAAUUUUCAAAAUAUGAAGAAAUUUACAGGAUUAUGUACUAAAUAUAUUAUAUAAUAUAUUAUAAUCAAAUAUAAAAUAAAUACGAAUUGCUUUGCGUUUUUAAAGUAAGUUAUAGGCAGUGCCGUACUCAACAAACUAAAUAACACAAAAGUCAUUAAAUUUCCGACGUUCUUAAAGAUUGAAAAAUAAUGUGCCAAUACUGUUAAUCUUACUACAUAACAGGGAACGCAAUUAUUUAUCAAGGGUGGGCAUAAAAAUUGGUU